UUUCCGUAGGUGAACCUGCGGAAGGAUCAUUAAUGAGUUGUCAUGGGGUUCGAUGCUGGCAGCCAAUUUUUGGAUGCAUGUGCUUGCCCUAACAAUCAUCUUCCAAACACCUGUGCACAUUUUUGAGGGAGUCUUGAGUUGGUUGCCGCUCUUGGGUGAUUUUCUCACAUUCCCUUAAAUCAUUAUACGCUAUUAACAAUGUUGAACGUGCUCUGUGCCGCAAGGCUAUUAAUAUAAUACAACUUUUAACAACGGAUCUCUAGGCUCUC
Molecule: unclassified non-coding RNA, 269 nt
Filed under: plant metagenome
Description: partial contains small subunit ribosomal RNA, internal transcribed spacer 1, and 5.8S ribosomal RNA
Source: RNAcentral